RNAcentral lists this ribosomal RNA (1343 nucleotides) under uncultured bacterium. RNAcentral describes it as "16S ribosomal RNA". It matches the Rfam family "Bacterial small subunit ribosomal RNA", at positions 28 to 1378 of the family's 1533-position model. The record is from RNAcentral.
GACGAACGCUGGCGGCGUGCUUAACACAUGCAAGUCGAACGGAAAGGCCCUGCUUUUGUGGGGUGCUCGAGUGGCGAACGGGUGAGUAACACGUGAGUAACCUGCCCUUGACUUUGGGAUAACUUCAGGAAACUGGGGCUAAUACCGGAUAGGAGCUCCUGCUGCAUGGUGGGGGUUGGAAAGUUUCGGCGGUUGGGGAUGGACUCGCGGCUUAUCAGCUUGUUGGUGGGGUAGUGGCUUACCAAGGCUUUGACGGGUAGCCGGCCUGAGAGGGUGACCGGCCACAUUGGGACUGAGAUACGGCCCAGACUCCUACGGGAGGCAGCAGUGGGGAAUAUUGCACAAUGGGCGGAAGCCUGAUGCAGCAACGCCGCGUGCGGGAUGACGGCCUUCGGGUUGUAAACCGCUUUCGCCUGUGACGAAGCGUGAGUGACGGUAAUGGGUAAAGAAGCACCGGCUAACUACGUGCCAGCAGCCGCGGUGAUACGUAGGGUGCGAGCGUUGUCCGGAUUUAUUGGGCGUAAAGGGCUCGUAGGUGGUUGAUCGCGUCGGAAGUGUAAUCUUGGGGCUUAACCCUGAGCGUGCUUUCGAUACGGGUUGACUUGAGGAAGGUAGGGGAGAAUGGAAUUCCUGGUGGAGCGGUGGAAUGCGCAGAUAUCAGGAGGAACACCAGUGGCGAAGGCGGUUCUCUGGGCCUUUCCUGACGCUGAGGAGCGAAAGCGUGGGGAGCGAACAGGCUUAGAUACCCUGGUAGUCCACGCUGUAAACGGUGGGUACUAGGUGUGGGGUCCAUUCCACGGGUUCCGUGCCGUAGCUAACGCUUUAAGUACCCCGCCUGGGGAGUACGGCCGCAAGGCUAAAACUCAAAGGAAUUGACGGGGCCCCGCACAAGCGGCGGAGCAUGCGGAUUAAUUCGAUGCAACGCGUAGAACCUUACCUGGGUUUGACAUGGAUCGGGAGCGCUCAGAGAUGGGUGUGCCUCUUUUGGGGUCGGUUCACAGGUGGUGCAUGGCUGUCGUCAGCUCGUGUCGUGAGAUGUUGGGUUAAGUCCCGCAACGAGCGCAACCCUUGUUCACUGUUGCCAGCACGUUAUGGUGGGGACUCAGUGGAGACCGCCGGGGUCAACUCGGAGGAAGGUGGGGAUGACGUCAAGUCAUCAUGCCCCUUAUGUCCAGGGCUUCACGCACGCUACAAUGGCUGGUACAGAGAGUGGCGAGCCUGUGAGGGUGAGCGAAUCUCGGAAAGCCGGUCUCAGUUCGGAUUGGGGUCUGCAACUCGACCUCAUGAAGUCGGAGUCGCUAGUAAUCGCAGAUCAGCAACGCUGCGGUGAAUACGUUCCCGGG